Molecule: ribosomal RNA, 150 nt
Filed under: uncultured bacterium
Lineage: Bacteria
Description: partial 16S ribosomal RNA
Source: RNAcentral
CACGAUCAGUUUAAGCCGCACUGCUUCCUCUGCGGGAAACCGUCAUUGUUUUCGUUCCAGCUGUACAGCAGCUUUUACACCCCAAAGGGCUUUCUUCGACUCACGCGGUGUCGCUACCUCAGGGCUUCCCCCAUUGCGUAAAAUUCCCCA